Psammomys obesus (fat sand rat) is the source of this 1377-nucleotide long non-coding RNA. RefSeq lists it as uncharacterized. The record is from RefSeq and is a predicted model, not a curated record. The transcript has 3 exons. NCBI's taxonomy places the organism in Eukaryota, Metazoa, Chordata, Mammalia, Rodentia, Muridae.
AGCUCUGCCGCCGGCGAGGAGUCCUGGAGGAGUUGGGGGGCAGACCUGGUGGGUCCUCUCUGGCUGCCAGUGGUAGGAAAGGAUGGACGAGCAAGUAAGCACGUUAGGGAAGAUGUCACAGCCUUUCUUUAUGAUUUGAAGGAAAAUAGCCAUAGCUAUUGCUGAAUGACUGGACGGAAAAUGCUAUAGGCUUUACCGAAUUUCUGCCGAUUUUUUUUUUUUUUUUUUUUAAUUUUCAGAUUUUCUGCGUUGCUUUCUUCCUUUAUUUUUCGGAGACACAGUUUCUCCGUGUAGCCUUGGCUGUCCUGGACUCGUUUUGUAGACCAGGCUGGCCUCGAACUCAGAGAUCCACCUGACUCUGCCUCCCUGAGUGCUGGGAUUACAGUGGUUUGCCACCGUGCCCGGCAUGUGUUGCUUCUUUUUAACUUUGGCAAAACCACAAACAAAUUAGCCCCAACACAAGUUAUUUUGAAAGAGGCUAGAGAGACAGUUCAAUGGUUAAGAAUGUAUACAGCUCUUGCGGAAGACUCUCAGAGUCCACCUCAGGAGAACCCCCAGCUCUCUUCUGAACCUCUUUGGGCACCAGCACUCACACGUGCAUAAAACUACACACUGAACUACGAUAUGCAAGUAAUCGAAAAUAAAAUAAAUCUAAAAAAUAUGCUAAAAGGAAAGCUGAAGAAGGGACGAGAAAAGGCAUUCUAUCGUGCAGAAAUGUCUAUGAAAGAAGAACACUAUCUGAACAUAGUGCCAGAGGCCUGUGAUCCCAGCAGCUGGGAUGAAGAGAAAAGUGGUUCAGAAAGCAAACGGACCGAAGACUAAAGAAAAGCGAAGCCUGCUGGUCUGACCUCCAAACAAUAAGCUGUUGUGGAUGAGACCUUCUGCACAUGAGAAAAAACUAACCACUUCGUAGACCGUUGAGAGUGCUGACAACAGUGGUGCCAAGCUGGAGGCCUGAGGGUUAAAGUUUUCAGCACACCAGAACAGACACGGGAAAUAUUCAUUAAAGGAAAUACUGCAGGGCUGGAGAGAUUGGUCAGCAGUUACAGAACCUGCUGUGCAAACAUGAGGACUGGAGUUCAGAUCUCCAGAAACCCCGGAAAUGCCAAGUGGGCAUGGUGGCCCACUGUGAUUCCAGCUGCGGAAGGCGCCUGGAUGACUGACAGGAGACUCAACACAACUGACAAGGCCACAGAAGCCCCAGAGGUAAUGUGUGUUUGCCUCUAGCCAUCCCAAACAAGGAUGUUCAACACAGUAAAUGAGCUACACUUGCUUGAAACCAGAACUUCUUGAAUCUCUCAUCCUCACACCUGCACAGGGUACCUCACAAAACCGCCUCAUAACUUCAGUUGCAAAAUGGAACUCUUUAGGAUGAGA